Molecule: long non-coding RNA, 941 nt
Organism: Homo sapiens (human)
Lineage: Eukaryota; Metazoa; Chordata; Mammalia; Primates; Hominidae
Source: Ensembl
AGACGGGCUUUCACCGUGGACUCUAUCUCCUGACCUCGUGAUCCGCCCGCAUAGGCCUCCCAAAGUGCUGGGAUUACAAGCGUGAGCAACCGCGCCCGGCCCCCUUCAGAGAUGGGGCCUUGCUGUGUUGUCCAGGCUGGACUCAAACUCCUGGGCCCAAGCAUUUCUCACACCUCAGUUUGUGGAGUAGCUGGGAUUACAGGCAUGUGUCACCAUGCUCCAAAAUUCAUAUGUUGAAACCUGAUUCCCACUGUGAUGGUUUUGGGUAAGGCCUGUGGGAGAUGAUUAGGUUGUGAGGGCGGAGCACCCAUGAAUCGGAUUAGUGCUCUUAAAACAGUCCGAAGAGACCAGCAUUCUUACUUUUCAUCAUGUGAGGACACAGCGAGAAGACAUUGUCUAGGAACAAAGAAAUAGGCCUUCAUGAUACACCGAAUCUGCCAGCACCUUUAUUUUGGAUUUUCCAGACUCCAGAACUGAGAGGGACAAUUUUUUAUUCUUUAUAAGUCACUUAGUCUAUGGUAUUUUGUUAUAGCAACCUCAAUGGACUAAGACAAAUGAGUACGAAAAGUGUUAAGCACAUGAAUACUCUUAAUCCAGCAAUUCUAAUUCUAGGAGAUUAUAAAAGCAGACAAAGGUAUUGCUAUGGGAAUGUUCAUUGUAGCAUCAUGCUAGUACCAAACUUGGCCCAACAAUAGGAAAUUGAAUCAUAAAUACCCCACAUUUAUUUGUUAAAUACUUUGAAACUAUUAAAAAUAUGUGGUAAAAUAUUAUUUAAUACCAUGGGGAAGUAUUCACAAUACAUGAUUGACUUAAAAAAUUGUAAGACACAAUGUACCGUAAUAGUUCCUUUUGAAAAGAAUGUACUAUCUUUUCAAUGGCCACUGUCUCUUGAACUGUUGGCCUUUUCACACCUGAAUAGUAAUAAAACCCACAUUUAAAAA